CCUACGGGCGGCAGCAGUGAGGAAUAUUGGUCAAUGGACGAGAGUCUGAACCAGCCAAGUAGCGUGAAGGAUGACUGCCCCAUGGGUUGUAAACUUCUUUUAUAAAGGAAUAAAACGAGGCACGUGUGCCUUUCUGCAUGUACUUUAUGAAUAAGGAUCGGCUAACUCCGUGCCAGCAGCCGCGGUAAUACGGAGGAUGCGAGCGUUAUCCGGAUUUAUUGGGUUUAAAGGGAGCGUAGAUGGGUUGUUAAGUCAGUUGUGAAAGUUUGCGGCUCAACCGUAAAAUUGCAAUUGAUACUGGCAGUCUUGAGUACAGUUGAGGUAGGCGGAAUGCGUGGUGUAGCGGUGAAAUGCUUAGAUAUUGCGAAGAACCCCGAUUGCGAAGGCAGCUUACUAAACUGUGACUGACAUUGAUGCUCGAAAGUGUGGGUAUCAAACAGGAUUAGAUACCCCUGUAGUC
This 460-nucleotide ribosomal RNA is filed under the name uncultured bacterium. RNAcentral describes it as "partial 16S ribosomal RNA". It matches the Rfam family "Bacterial small subunit ribosomal RNA", at positions 338 to 795 of the family's 1533-position model. The record is from RNAcentral.